GACAGAGGUUGCAAACGUUGUUCGGAAUUACUGGGCAUAAAGCGCACGUAGGCGGUUCGUUAAGUCAUGUGUGAAAUCCCUCGGCUCAACCGAGGAAUUGCGCCUGAUACUGGCGGGCUAGAGAUCGAUAGGGGUGAGUGGAACUCCAGGUGGAGCGGUGAAAUGCGUAGAUAUCUGGAGGAACACCAGUGGCGAAAGCGGCUCACUGGAUCGAUACUGACGCUGAGGUGCGAAAGCUAGGGGAGCAAACAGG
This 253-nucleotide ribosomal RNA is filed under the name uncultured bacterium. RNAcentral's name for it is "partial 16S ribosomal RNA". It matches the Rfam family "Bacterial small subunit ribosomal RNA", at positions 524 to 776 of the family's 1533-position model. The record is from RNAcentral.